RNAcentral lists this ribosomal RNA (468 nucleotides) under uncultured bacterium. RNAcentral's name for it is "partial 16S ribosomal RNA". It matches the Rfam family "Bacterial small subunit ribosomal RNA", at positions 28 to 507 of the family's 1533-position model. The record is from RNAcentral.
GACGAACGCUGGCGGCGUGCUUAACACAUGCAAGUCGAACGGAAAGGCCCUGCUUUUGUGGGGUGCUCGAGUGGCGAACGGGUGAGUAACACGUGAGUAACCUGCCCUUGACUUUGGGAUAACUUCAGGAAACUGGGGCUAAUACCGGAUAGGAGCUCCUGCUGCAUGGUGGGGGUUGGAAAGUUUCGGCGGUUGGGGAUGGACUCGCGGCUUAUCAGCUUGUUGGUGGGGUAGUGGCUUACCAAGGCUUUGACGGGUAGCCGGCCUGAGAGGGUGACCGGCCACAUUGGGACUGAGAUACGGCCCAGACUCCUACGGGAGGCAGCAGUGGGGAAUAUUGCACAAUGGGCGGAAGCCUGAUGCAGCAACGCCGCGUGCGGGAUGACGGCCUUCGGGUUGUAAACCGCUUUCGCCUGUGACGAAGCACGAGUGACGGUAAUGGGUAAAGAAGCACCGGCUAACUACGUG